Astatotilapia calliptera (eastern happy) is the source of this 1391-nucleotide long non-coding RNA. The record is from Ensembl. Lineage: Eukaryota; Metazoa; Chordata; Actinopteri; Cichliformes; Cichlidae.
GUAAUGUUCUCAUUAUAUUCCGAUUUAGUAGCUUUGAUAUAUGACUCUAAACUGCACUGCAUAUUAAAGCAGUCUGUGUACAGUUCAUUACGUGAUCUACAGAUGAAUUAUAAUCUUUCUGCGGUGCAACAGUGAGUGCUUCUCAGACCAUCUAUGACAGUUAGAUAUCAGCUUUUUCCACUGGGGAGCAAAACACCCAAACCGCCAUGGAAAAGAAAGCUUUUAUCUUCAAAAAAAUAUGGGGACAUGACUACCUCAUGGCUGAGCAAAAAAUAAAUAAAUAAAAAACAAUAAAAAUGGAUGGCCAGUGGGGGAGAUGAAGGAUUAAUGACAGAGCUGCUGGAUAGACAGGAGGAUAUUUACUUCCAAGCCACCUACAUAUCUUCAGCUUUAUUAGAAUAGCAUCGGGGGAGGCAGCACAGGCUCCUUUCAGGUAAAUGUCACUGCUUUCUUCGAUGAUACCGCAAUUCCUCUCAGCCCACUGAAGCUGCCUCGUUGCCUCUUGGGAAGUCAAGGGCCUGUUUUGAAUGCCACUCUCUGACCACGAGAGUGCUUGGUUUCCUCAAUAUGGGUCCGGUUAUUUGUUUGUGUUUCAACUUGUGGCUGAGUGGAGAUUUAAGUCCUUGUUUGGGAAGAGACACCAAAGGGACACGACCCCAUUGUACGAGAAAAACACAAACCCACAAACUCAGGAGAAAAACAAGUGGGACGGAAAAAGAAGGGAAUAUGUUUCUGCUUUGCUGCUCUGUUUAAGUUUACCUGUAUUUCACUCAGAAUCAUUAUAAUCAAAGAAACAAACUAGUUAUGGUUGAAUUAUAGAUAUGAUUUCGAUGUUGGCUCGGCAUACUUCUUAACUCAUCUGGGCUGCACACUCUUAUUAGACUUUUGAGAUAGAAAAGGUUUGUGUUGACGAUUGAUUACAAGCAAAUCAUUUCCAAUCGAGAGAAGAAUGUCAAGCAAAAAAAAAAAAAAAAAAAACGUGCUGGGUAUAUGAUUGGGUGGGGACAAGAGCAGAACGACCCCUGUACUGACCGGAGCAAGCAUCAGCAAGAUCAGACAUUAACAGUGAUUAAGUCCGACACAGCAUGAGAGGGAGGAGCAGGGGUGGAGAUGGGUUGUGAAUCAGUGUGCAGCUUAAAUGCCCUGAGUGAGAUUUGCCAGUAGGAUGCGUGCAAGUGCAUCAGCUAAGCCUGCACUGUCAGCCUGUUCUGGGGUCAGCUCAUCUGCCAAGACUAUGUUCAAUUUAUAGAGAACAUUUUGUUACUUCUUUAUAAUAUGGGGGGGUUUGAUUGGAUUAUGUGAACGAAUGAAAUUGCCAACAUGAUUUUAGCUUAAAAUAUUUCCUCUGAGCAGUCUGACAUGGGACUUUGAGUGAAUCACCUGCCAAAAAG